This 253-nucleotide ribosomal RNA is filed under the name uncultured bacterium. Its description in RNAcentral is "partial 16S ribosomal RNA". It matches the Rfam family "Bacterial small subunit ribosomal RNA", at positions 524 to 776 of the family's 1533-position model. The record is from RNAcentral.
UACGUAGGGGGCUAGCGUUGUCCGGAAUCAUUGGGCGUAAAGAGCGUGUAGGCGGUCCGGUAAGUCCGCUGUGAAAGUCGGGGGCUCAACCCUCGAAUGCCGGUGGAUACUGUCGGGCUAGAGUGCGGACGAGGCGAGUGGAAUUCCUGGUGUAGCGGUGAAAUGCGCAGAUAUCAGGAGGAACACCUAUUGCGAAGGCAGCUCGCUGGGACGUCACUGACGCUGAGACGCGAAAGCGUGGGGAGCAAACAGG